Molecule: ribosomal RNA, 466 nt
Filed under: uncultured Bacteroidota bacterium
Lineage: Bacteria; Pseudomonadati; Bacteroidota
Description: bacterial SSU rRNA
Rfam family: Bacterial small subunit ribosomal RNA
Source: RNAcentral
AGGCGGCCGCGAAUUCACUAGUGAUUAGAGUUUGAUCAUGGCUCAGGCGCUAGCGGCAGGCCUAAUACAUGCACGCCGAAAGGGCAGCAAUGUCCAUGCGACGGGUGCCUAACACGUAUGCAACUCCCAUAACUGGGGGAUAACCUUCCGAAAGGGAGGAUAAUACCGCAUAAGACAGCGAUCCCGCAUGGGGGUGCUGUUAAGGCUUCGGCGGUUGUGGAUGGGCAUGCGGACGAUUAGCUAGUUGGCGGGGUAACGGCCCACCAAGGCGACGAUCGUUAGGGGAACUGAGAGGUUGGUCCCCCACACUGGCACUGAGAUACGGGCCAGACUCCUACGGGAGGCAGCAGUAGGGAAUAUUGGUCAAUGGGCGGAAGCCUGAACCAGCCAUGCCGGUGCAGGAAGAAGGCUCUGGGUUGCAAACUGCGUUUGAAGGGAACAAGAAGGCCAUGCUGCAGGAGUGAGU